AUACUGUAGGUUGUUUGUUUCCUAAGUAUGAUGAUUAGGUGUUUACACCAUUGUAUGACACAUGCCUCCUUCAUUAUAACGUUAUUGCAUUAUCCAUCUCACA
Molecule: small nucleolar RNA, 103 nt
Organism: Acomys russatus (golden spiny mouse)
Lineage: Eukaryota; Metazoa; Chordata; Mammalia; Rodentia; Muridae
Product: small nucleolar RNA U13
Exons: 1
Source: RefSeq, a predicted model, not a curated record